This is a long non-coding RNA of Teleopsis dalmanni, 732 nucleotides long. RefSeq lists it as uncharacterized. The transcript is spliced from 3 exons. NCBI's taxonomy places the organism in Eukaryota, Metazoa, Arthropoda, Insecta, Diptera, Diopsidae. The record is from RefSeq and is a predicted model, not a curated record.
GCUAAUGAUGAUUGUUGGAAAUCAAAUUUGUUUAUUUAAAUUGUAAUUUUAAAAAAUUUUAUUCGAAAGUAUUGAUGUUGGAAAUCGUUCUCAGAAGAAUUUUUCAUGAUCGCUGCGAUUCAAUCAGCAUCAUCCAAUCAGCAUCAUUAGCCAAGUAAUUUUGGGUCCAAUGUGUCUUCUAGAGAAAGGUGGUUUUGACUCAAGCCUAAUAUUUGCGAAGUUAUUUGUAUUUCGAUACGAAGAGUGCACUUUGAAUCGUAGUACAAUCAAUCGUCUAUGCGUGGCGGAGCUAAGAGUGGACUCGUAAGAGUGAAAAACUUAAAACAUACCUUAUACGAAUAAAUAAUAGGGAAGAGUGCACUUUAAAUCGUCUAUGCCAAGAGUGGUUUCGUAAUGAAAGUGAAAAACUAUCAAAUACGAAUAAAUAAUAGUCCAUAGGUCUUGUUACAAAAUAUGGACUUGGAAACUUAAAUUAAAUCUUAGAAAAUCACGUACUAAGAAUUAGUGCUGUUCAUAGUAUUCGGAUAUUUUAAAACCCGAAAUUAUUCGAUUAAUCCGAUAUCAACGAAGUCUUCGGAGUUGAAAAAAAAAAAAUGGGAAUUUUUUUAAAUCCGUAGUGUUCGAAUAUCCAGAUUUAAAUUAUUCGGAGAAGUCAUGAGCAAAAGUUAAUCGGAGAGCAUAAUAAUAAAGAUAAUAGAAUUUGUGGUUGUUUGUACGAUUUUAUGUGUUUGG